RNAcentral lists this long non-coding RNA (1616 nucleotides) under Zea mays. Its description in RNAcentral is "long non-coding RNA (ZMAY_LNC002124)". Lineage: Eukaryota; Viridiplantae; Streptophyta; Magnoliopsida; Poales; Poaceae. The record is from RNAcentral.
AAGUUGCACUGGUACAAACCGGUUCAGUUGAUUUUGUUUACAACCGAACAAGUUUGAACCUGCUCAACUUAGAUUAGAUAAACAGUUAAACAAAUGUGACGAAGUAGUUAGAGAAUAUGCUAAAGUCUUGUCCUAGAGAAAAUCCACUCAAAUAGAUGACAAAUCGAUGUGAAUUGUUUUCACACGAUUUGCACACAAUAUAACCGAAUAUGAACUAACCAACCAAUUAAAGUGCUUAUCAAGAACACACAAGAACACACGAUUUAACCCGAGGUUCGGCAAUCACCACAAAGGUAUCCUACUCCUCGUUGAGGAGCCCACAAAGGGCCGGGUCUUUUCCAACCCUAAUCCUCCACAAGCCGACCACCAAGGUCAAGGCAGUCUCUUCUCAAAUUUGCUCAAAGAGUGGGUGAUACAAACUUCUUGGGGUCGUUCACAAAUUUGGAGACUCCCAAGCAACCUCUAACCAUCAAGGAACACAAGGUUCUAAGAGUAACAAAUACGCACAAGGUUAAGUUUGCAAUGAGCUCGAGAAUGAAGAGAAUAGGAGAAUCAAGAUGAAAUCAACAGUGUGUUAGAUCGACUUCACCUCACACCAAGGAUCCUUCAAACGAUUGAAGGGGAUGCGAUUUUGGGUGUGAAAGGUGAAAUGAAUGCAAUUUUUGUUCUAUAUGUACAGUAAUAAUGCAUACAGUGGGAUCUUGCAGCUCGAAAUGUUUAGUUUCCCUUUGUGAUAUAAACUACAAAUGCAUAUACUUGAUCUGAAUUUACAUCUAUAAUUUGCAAGAACAAAACAUUACUGCCACGCUUGAUGGAACCGACCAAAGAAAAAUACUAUUUGAUGAUUGAUUGCCACGCUUGAUGUGGAUAGGAUCAUGGAUUGACUUAAAGACAGGAGAGUACGUGUGUCAGUCAGUCGAUCAUCCAGCGAGUGAAACCAAGAAAUUCAUGGCGGGUUGAAGGAUACACUGGAGGGAGGUACGCACGUUCCUGGCGAGGUGCUCCUAGCGGCGGUGGUCACUAGCCUGUUGAUUCAUGGGGACAAGGUCAUAGUCGGCGUCGGCUUGCUCGAGUGCCAGCAGCAUGUAUGGUGACAUUGCUUACCUGUACCGGUGGAGAUAAGGCCGGGCAGGCCGAGAGCUGAUUCAGCCAGUGGUUGAUUGGUAACUCCAUUUCACCAUUCGAUUGAAAUCCCCAAGUGGAAGGGAUGGUGAGAAACCCAUGAGUCAUUUCUAAAAAAGAGAAGACCCUGAUGAGACUGCUCACCUGCAGAUUCAGAUCGAUGGAUGGGCAAUGGGGACGCCCGCUAGCAAGAUUGGAUCUCCUCCUUGGGAGCCUGUUAAUUGGCACGAUCGAUUGCGGUGGAGAUGGAACAGGAAGCUCUGUCUCCUGCUAGACCUAGUCACGUUCUCUCCUUGCGGGGCGACUCAUCUGGGCGAGCACCAGGAUGGAGCUGCAUAUUGGCGACGGCUAGGGUUUGGAUUGGCGUGAGGAGACGAGGGCGAUUGGUGAUAUGAUCCCGUGGGGGUGAAUGGGGCUAGCCGGGUAGCGCUUGGGCUGUUCUAGGUGGGCCUAUGGAGGUUUGGGCCUCGGCCACUAAAGGACAUAUCUGGUCG